This is a long non-coding RNA of Lynx canadensis (Canada lynx), 694 nucleotides long. RefSeq lists it as uncharacterized. The record is from RefSeq and is a predicted model, not a curated record. NCBI's taxonomy places the organism in Eukaryota, Metazoa, Chordata, Mammalia, Carnivora, Felidae. The transcript has 6 exons.
CUCCUUAGAAAACAAGUGGGAGACAACUCUGUUAUACUGAGUCUGAAUUCUGAGUUUUUGUCGACAUAGAGCCUGUAUAAGCACUCUCAUACAAGAAAUUGGCCACAUAACUUGCAUGGGGAAAGAACAGCAUGGGGUCAGGAAACAAAAUGGACAAUAAGAGAAAGAAGCAAGAGAGAGACUCAGGACAAAGAAUAUCUCCCAAUACUGUUAAAUAUAGAUAUCUGGACUGAAUUGAACUUACAUGACAAUUGCAGUCAAGAUUCUGGAACUCAGAAUGGGCAAACCAGUUCUAACCCUAGGCCUUGAGAAGUCGUGAAGCUUCCAUUCUCAUUCUAGAAAUGAUGACAGAGAGUGAAAAUCCAUGUGGACGGGGCGCCCAGCUGCCUCUGCCUUCCCAGCCAUCUCAGUUGAGGCCCACACCUGCGAGUGAACCCAGCUGAGAACACAGUAAACACAGCCCAAAUUACCAAGUCACAGAACAUUCUAGCAUUGGACAUGAAGAUAACAGCCUUACCGAAGGGAAAUUCUACCAUUUUAUGAUGAGUCUUCAAAGGCAUCCAAACACAGGGAUUCUAUCUCUUUGCCAACAUCUGCAGAACAUUUCCGUGAAAAAUAUCCAAUGGUUAUUCAGACUUCUUCAUCUGUAUAGAAACUUCCAGGUGCUCAGCCAGACUGACUGACAGCUGCUUCU